RNAcentral lists this unclassified non-coding RNA (353 nucleotides) under soil metagenome. RNAcentral's name for it is "partial contains 5.8S ribosomal RNA, internal transcribed spacer 2, and large subunit ribosomal RNA". The stretch from base 1 to 120 matches the Rfam family "5.8S ribosomal RNA", at positions 35 to 154 of the family's 154-position model. The record is from RNAcentral.
GAUGAAGAACGCAGCGAAAUGCGAUAAGUAAUGUGAAUUGCAGAAUUCAGUGAAUCAUCGAAUCUAUGAACGCACAUUGCGCCCGCCAGUAUUCUGGCGGGCAUGCCUGUUCGAGCGUCAUUACAACCCUCAGGCCCCCGGGCCUGGCGUUGGGGAUCGGCGGAAGCCCCCUGCGGGCACAACGCCGUCCCCCAAAUACAGUGGCGGUCCCGCCGCAGCUUCCAUUGCGUAGUAGCUAACACCUCGCAACUGGAGAGCGGCGCGGCCACGCCGUAAAACACCCAACUUCUGAAUGUUGACCUCGAAUCAGGUAGGAAUACCCGCUGAACUUAAGCAUAUCAAUAAGCGGAGGA